GACCCAAUGGCGAAGUGUAUCGCGUCCGCGUUUUAUAUUAUGUGCCUGAUUUGUCUGCGGAAGUCCCCCGUUCGAUCCGGGGUUGGGUCG
Mycena rosella is the source of this 90-nucleotide non-coding RNA. The record is from the annotation of a GenBank genome assembly. NCBI's taxonomy places the organism in Eukaryota, Fungi, Basidiomycota, Agaricomycetes, Agaricales, Mycenaceae.